RNAcentral lists this ribosomal RNA (380 nucleotides) under uncultured eukaryote. RNAcentral describes it as "partial 18S ribosomal RNA". It matches the Rfam family "Eukaryotic small subunit ribosomal RNA", at positions 592 to 976 of the family's 1831-position model. The record is from RNAcentral.
CAAUAGCGUAUAUUAAAGUUGUUGCGGUUAAAAAGCUCGUAGUUGGAUUUCUGCUGAGGACGACCGGUCCGCCCUCUGGGUGAGUAUCUGGCUCGGCCUGGGCAUCUUCUUGGAGAACGUAGCUGCACUUGACUGUGUGGUGCGGUAUCCAGGACUUUUACUUUGAGGAAAUUAGAGUGUUUCAAGCAGGCGCAUGCCUUGAAUACAUUAGCAUGGAAUAAUAAGAUAGGACCUCGGUUCUAUUUUGUUGGUUUCUAGAGCUGAGGUAAUGAUUAAUAGGGAUAGUUGGGGGCAUUCGUAUUUAAUUGUCAGAGGUGAAAUUCUUGGAUUUGUUAAAGACGGGCUACUGCGAAAGCAUUUGCCAAGGAUGUUUUCAUUGA